AUAAAGGUUAAAUAAAAAAAUAAAACACUCAUCGACUCUGUUAGUUCCACCAUUACCGCUGUCUUGAGAACAACCAGUGUGGUCAAGACCCCCCUCCACAGACAUCUGCUGCAUCUUCAUCUUAAGCGUGUCAGCUCUGCAGCACCAGGGAGCUAAAGUACCAUGUUUGCUGUGGUUAAUUUCCCGAACGAAGAUGCAAAAACCUGGUGCACCAAGGACAAAUGUUAUUGGCCUCCAUACAAGAGCCAAGAGAGGUUAAGGAAGGCAGUGAUGUUGCACAAACGGCCAGACAUUGAUACAUGGGAGGUGUAUUCAAUUCAAUUACUGAAGACAGAAUUCAUAUGAGAAAUCUCAUGGUUAGGGCAAAGGCCUGGAAACAGAGCUGGAGUCUCACCAAAGGAAGAGAAAGUAAGAUUUAGUGUUUGAAAUAAAAGGAAUCUCAACACUACUACUCUGAAAACUUCAUGCUUGCUGUCAUUCCCAGGCGAAAUCCUAAAUGUGAUCGACUCUGAGGAGUCUGACACUGAUCAUAACCAGCACCCACCAGCGUCAAAGACCCCCAAAUUCACCCAAAAAAGGGUUGAUUCCACACACAAAAAAAAGUAUAUGCAAUAUUUAAUUUCUUGGCAAUGAAUUGUUCAUACAAAGUAUAAGUCUAAUUUUCACAACCUACAUUUCAUUUGCACAAUUUGCAACAGUAUCUUCUAUACUAUCUUUGUCACUCUCUGCUGGGGGUAAGUGCCUCUUAUGUACUGAAUGUAAUGAAGUAUAUCACAUAAUAUGCUUAAGAACUAAUAAUGUUAUGUGUUUUUUGAAGGAAUGCUGAAAUAGUUUGGCUGUGAACUCAGAUGUAUAGGACAAAUAACUAUGCWUAACUUUGAUCUGAACAGGUCCCCAGUCCUCUUCGUCACAUGGGUCAGCUGCUCACCAGU
Long non-coding RNA from Salvelinus sp. IW2-2015, 932 nucleotides. RefSeq lists it as uncharacterized. NCBI's taxonomy places the organism in Eukaryota, Metazoa, Chordata, Actinopteri, Salmoniformes, Salmonidae. The record is from RefSeq and is a predicted model, not a curated record.